This is a non-coding RNA of Eptesicus fuscus (big brown bat), 79 nucleotides long. NCBI's taxonomy places the organism in Eukaryota, Metazoa, Chordata, Mammalia, Chiroptera, Vespertilionidae. The record is from RefSeq and is marked provisional.
CGUGGUCCGAACGAGCCUGGUGUUUGGCAGUGGAGCCAGUGAUCCUAUCUGUAAACUAUGUGGGUGUUCAGAGUGAGGC